CUAAGAGCGAAUGGUGGAUGCCUUGACUGGUAAAGGCGAUGAAGGACGUACUAGACUGCGAUAAGCUACGGGGAGCUGUCAAGAAGCUUUGAUCCGUAGAUUUCCGAAUGGGGCAACCCAAUGUAUAGAGAUAUACAUUACCUAUAUAGGAGCGAACGAGGGGAAUUGAAACAUCUUAGUACCCUCAGGAAAAGAAAUCAAUAGAGAUUGCGUCAGUAGCGGCGAGCGAAAGCGCAAGAGGGCAAACCCAGUGCUUGCACUGGGGGUUGUAGGACUGCAAUGUGCAAGAGGUAAGUUUAGCAGAACAUUCUGGAAAGUAUAACCAUAGAGGGUGAUAGUCCCGUAUGCGAAAAACAAACCUUAGCUAGCAGUAUCCUGAGUAGGGCGGGACACGAGGAAUCCUGUCUGAAUCCGGGUCGACCACGAUCCAACCCUAAAUACUAAUACCAGAUCGAUAGUGCACAAGUACCGUGAGGGAAAGGUGAAAAGAACUGAGGUGAUCAGAGUGAAAUAGAACCUGAAACCAUUUGCUUACAAUCAUUCAGAGCCCUAUGUAGCAAUACAGGGUGAUGGACUGCCUUUUGCAUAAUGAGCCUGCGAGUUGUGGUGUCUGGCAAGGUUAAGCAAACGCGAAGCCGUAGCGAAAGCGAGUCUGAAUAGGGCGCUUAGUCAGAUGCUGCAGACCCGAAACGAAGUGAUCUAUCCAUGAGCAAGUUGAAGCUAGUGUAAGAACUAGUGGAGGACUGAACCCAUAGGCGUUGAAAAGCCCCGGGAUGACUUGUGGAUAGGGGUGAAAGGCCAAUCAAACUUCGUGAUAGCUGGUUCUCUCCGAAAUAUAUUUAGGUAUAGCGUUGUGUCGUAAUAUAAGGGGGUAGAGCACUGAAUGGGCUAGGGCAUACACCAAUGUACCAAACCCUAUCAAACUCCGAAUACCUUAUAUGUAAUCACAGCAGUCAGGCGGCGAGUGAUAAAAUCCGUCGUCAAGAGGGAAACAACCCAGACUACCAGCUAAGGUCCCUAAAUCUUACUUAAGUGGAAAACGAUGUGAAGUUACUUAAACAACCAGGAGGUUGGCUUAGAAGCAGCCAUCCUUUAAAGAAAGCGUAAUAGCUCACUGGUCUAGUGAUUUUGCGCGGAAAAUAUAACGGGGCUAAAGUAAGUACCGAAGCUGUAGACUUGCACACAACUUAGAUUAUUUAAGUUUAGAAUAUGAGAAACUAAGUUAUAUGUUUAGUUAUAUUUUUACUGAUUUUUAUAGAGUAAAGAUAGAAAUAAAACUUAGUAAAAUCAGUAAAAAUAUUCUUAGACUAAAGUUAAGUAGUUUAAGUUGUGUGCAAGUGGUAGGAGAGCGUUCUAUUUGCGUCGAAGGUAUACCGGUAAGGAGUGCUGGAGCGAAUAGAAGUGAGCAUGCAGGCAUGAGUAGCGAUAAUUAAUGUGAGAAUCAUUAACGCCGUAAACCCAAGGUUUCCUACGCGAUGCUCGUCAUCGUAGGGUUAGUCGGGUCCUAAGUCGAGUCCGAAAGGGGUAGACGAUGGCAAAUUGGUUAAUAUUCCAAUACCAACAUUAGUGUGCGAUGGAAGGACGCUUAGGGCUAAGGGGGCUAGCGGAUGGAAGUGCUAGUCUAAGGUCGUAGGAGGUUAUACAGGCAAAUCCGUAUAACAAUACUCCGAGAACUGAAAGGCUUUUUGAAGUCUUCGGAUGGAUAGAAGAACCCCUGAUGCCGUCGAGCCAAGAAAAGUUUCUAAGUUUAGCUAAUGUUGCCCGUACCGUAAACCGACACAGGUGGGUGGGAUGAGUAUUCUAAGGCGCGUGGAAGAACUCUCUUUAAGGAACUCUGCAAAAUAGCACCGUAUCUUCGGUAUAAGGUGUGGUUAGCUUUGUAUUAGGAUUUACUCCGAAAGCAAGGAAACUUACAACAAAGAGUCCCUCCCGACUGUUUACCAAAAACACAGCACUCUGCUAACUCGUAAGAGGAUGUAUAGGGUGUGACGCCUGCCCGGUGCUCGAAGGUUAAUUGAUGGGGUUAGCAUUAGCGAAGCUCUUGAUCGAAGCCCGAGUAAACGGCGGCCGUAACUAUAACGGUCCUAAGGUAGCGAAAUUCCUUGUCGGUUAAAUACCGACCUGCAUGAAUGGCGUAACGAGAUGGGAGCUGUCUCAAAGAGGGAUCCAGUGAAAUUGUAGUGGAGGUGAAAAUUCCUCCUACCCGCGGCAAGACGGAAAGACCCCGUGGACCUUUACUACAGCUUGACACUGCUACUUGGAUAAGAAUGUGCAGGAUAGGUGGGAGGCUUUGAGUAUAUGACGCCAGUUGUAUAUGAGCCAUUGUUGAGAUACCACUCUUUCUUAUUUGGGUAGCUAACCAGCUUGAGUUAUCCUCAAGUGGGACAAUGUCUGGUGGGUAGUUUGACUGGGGCGGUCGCCUCCCAAAUAAUAACGGAGGCUUACAAAGGUUGGCUCAGAACGGUUGGAAAUCGUUCGUAGAGUAUAAAGGUAUAAGCCAGCUUAACUGCAAGACAUACAAGUCAAGCAGAGACGAAAGUCGGUCUUAGUGAUCCGGUGGUUCUGUGUGGAAGGGCCAUCGCUCAAAGGAUAAAAGGUACCCCGGGGAUAACAGGCUGAUCUCCCCCAAGAGCUCACAUCGACGGGGAGGUUUGGCACCUCGAUGUCGGCUCAUCGCAUCCUGGGGCUGGAGCAGGUCCCAAGGGUAUGGCUGUUCGCCAUUUAAAGCGGUACGCGAGCUGGGUUCAGAACGUCGUGAGACAGUUCGGUCCCUAUCUGCCGUGGGCGUAAGAAGAUUGAAGAGAUUUGACCCUAGUACGAGAGGACCGGGUUGAACAAACCACUGGUGUAGCUGUUGUUCUGCCAAGAGCAUCGCAGCGUAGCUAAGUUUGGAAAGGAUAAACGCUGAAAGCAUCUAAGCGUGAAACCAACUCUAAGAUGAAUCUUCUCUAAGCUCUCUAGAAGACUACUAGUUUGAUAGGCUGGGUGUGUAAUGGAUGAAAGUCCUUUAGCUGACCAGUACUAAUAGAGCGUUUGGCUUAUCUUUA
RNAcentral lists this ribosomal RNA (3047 nucleotides) under Campylobacter jejuni. RNAcentral describes it as "bacterial LSU rRNA". It matches the Rfam family "Bacterial large subunit ribosomal RNA". Lineage: Bacteria; Pseudomonadati; Campylobacterota; Epsilonproteobacteria; Campylobacterales; Campylobacteraceae. The record is from RNAcentral.